This 1310-nucleotide ribosomal RNA is filed under the name uncultured bacterium. Its description in RNAcentral is "bacterial SSU rRNA". It matches the Rfam family "Bacterial small subunit ribosomal RNA", at positions 25 to 1324 of the family's 1533-position model. The record is from RNAcentral.
CAGAAUGAACGCUGGCGGUGUGCUUAACACAUGCAAGUCGAACGAGAAAACCCUUCGGGGUGAGUAAAGUGGCGAACGGGUGAGUAACGCGUAAGAAUCUACCCUUUAGUGAAGAAUACCUUCGAGAAAUCGAGGUUAAUACUGCAUACGUCCUUAUGCUGAGAGGCAUAAGGGGAAAGGUGGCCUCUUGCUACCGCUGAAGGAUGAGCUUGCGUACUAUUAGCUAGUUGGUAAGGUAAAGGCUUACCAAGGCAGUGAUGGUUAACCGGCCUGAGAGGGUGGUCGGUCACAUUGGGACUGAGAUACGGCCCAGACUCCUACGGGAGGCAGCAGUGGGGAAUUUUGCACAAUGGGCGCAAGCCUGAUGCAGCGACACCGCGUGGAGGAAGAAGGUCUUCGGAUUGUAAACUCCUGUUAAGUGGGAAGAAAGGCGCAUGAGUAAUAUGCAUGCGAGAUGACGGUACCACUAGAGAAAGCUCCGGCUAACUUCGUGCCAGCAGCCGCGGUAAUACGAAGGGAGCGAGCGUUAUUCGGAAUUACUGGGCGUAAAAGAGCGUGUAGGCGGUUUAUUAAGUCAGUUGUUAAAGCCCACGGCUUAACUGUGGAACUGCAAUUGAUACUGGUGAGCUAGAGGGCAAGAGAGAGAAGUGGAAUUCUCGGAGUAGCGGUAAAAUGCGUAGAUCUCGAGAGGAACACCAAUGGCGAAGGCAGCUUUUUGGCUUGUCCCUGACGCUGAGACGCGAAAGCGUGGGGAGCAAACAGGAUUAGAUACCCUGGUAGUCCACGCCGUAAACGAUGAUCACUAAAUGUUGGUCUUGCUUUGCGAGAUUAGUGUUAAAGCUAACGCGUUAAGUGAUCCGCCUGGGGAGUACGAUCGCAAGAUUAAAACUCAAAGGAAUUGACGGGGGUCCGCACAAGCGGCGGAACAUGUGGUUUAAUUCGACACUACGCGAGGAACCUUACCUGGGUUUGACAUGUACGCGACAGCUGUAGAAAUACAGUUUUCCUGGUCUUACCACGACGCGUACACAGGUGCUGCAUGGCUGUCGUCAGCUCGUGUCGUGAGAUGUUGGGUUAAGUCCUUUAACGAGCGCGACCCCUACCGUUAGUUGCAAGCCUUCGGGCGCACUCUAGCGGGACCGCCGGAAACAAGGAGGAAGGUGGGGAUGACGUCAAGUCCUCAUGGCCCUUAUACCCAGGGCUACACACACGCUACAAUGGCCGGCACAAUGGGUCGCCAAGCCGUGAGGCGGAGCUAAUCCUCUAAAGCCGGUCUCAGUUCAGAUUGGAGCUGCACUCGCCUCCAUGAA